GUAUCGAAUGAAAGGAGAGAAUAUUAGCUCCAUCCUUGACAAGAAUGUAAGAUGAGAAAAAAUGAUACAAGUGACAUUCAACACACAUAUGUCAUCAUGAAUGGAAUGCCUGAAAGGUUGUAGAAAGUAUGAAUGAUUUUUU
This is a small nuclear RNA of Triplophysa dalaica, 142 nucleotides long. The record is from RefSeq and is a predicted model, not a curated record. NCBI's taxonomy places the organism in Eukaryota, Metazoa, Chordata, Actinopteri, Cypriniformes, Nemacheilidae.